CCUUUUUGCUGUGGUUGCUGAUGCAGUGGUCUCUCUGCGUGGCCACGCAGCCACAGCAACUUGCCUCAACCAACCCACAGGAGCAGGAGAUACACCAGGGAGCUGCAAUUCCUUCUUAGCUGAGAUGGAGAACGGUCACAAAUACUGCACUACUGAAACGUGGAUGGAGAAAAAAAAUGGGGCUCCUCUCUUAGGGCCACGUCGGCACAGCUAGGCUUUCUUCCAUAUCGCGGCAAUGUUUACGUCGGUCAGAGCGACCAGGUACGUGAAGGUGGGAUCCGUGACCACGUUGUUCACCAAGACAUCUGUCAGCAGCUCACCGUUUGCCUUCAGUUCCGGCCAGUUCAGGACCUAAAUGAGAAAGAGCGGUAUGGGCAGAGAUGUAGAAUUUCCGGAAAUUUUGAAGCCACGGGGAAAAAAACUUAUUAGCCCUUUUUGCAGAUUGAAAGUCACUUCGUUACUUUAGGAACAUAAAAUAGAAUUACGUCCCAAGUUGGUUUGGCAUAAAAUUAUUACAUUUGGUAUAUUAAAAGUACAGUGUU
Long non-coding RNA from Elgaria multicarinata webbii, 542 nucleotides. RefSeq lists it as uncharacterized. Lineage: Eukaryota; Metazoa; Chordata; Lepidosauria; Squamata; Anguidae. The transcript has 2 exons. The record is from RefSeq and is a predicted model, not a curated record.